UUUCCUUUGGAAAUGACGAUAAAAUUGGAAAAUACAGAGAAGAUUAGCAUGGCCCCUGUGCAAGGAUGACACACAUAAAUCAAGAAAUUGUCCACAAAAGA
Molecule: small nuclear RNA, 101 nt
Organism: Magnolia sinica
Lineage: Eukaryota; Viridiplantae; Streptophyta; Magnoliopsida; Magnoliales; Magnoliaceae
Source: RefSeq, a predicted model, not a curated record